Molecule: ribosomal RNA, 253 nt
Filed under: uncultured bacterium
Lineage: Bacteria
Description: partial 16S ribosomal RNA
Rfam family: Bacterial small subunit ribosomal RNA
Source: RNAcentral
UACGUAGGGGGCUAGCGUUGUCCGGAAUCAUUGGGCGUAAAGAGCGUGUAGGCGGUUCGGUAAGUCCGCUGUGAAAGUCGGGGGCUCAACCCUCGAAUGCCGGUGGAUACUGUCGGACUAGAGUACGGAAGAGGCGAGUGGAAUUCCUGGUGUAGCGGUGAAAUGCGCAGAUAUCAGGAGGAACACCAAUUGCGAAGGCAGCUCGCUGGGACGUUACUGACGCUGAGACGCGAAAGCGUGGGGAGCAAACAGG